AGUGUUAACGAUUCUUAAAUAAGCUUUCAAUAAGCAGAGUGAACAGGAACAAAACAAUGUUGUGUUCCGUUCGGUUUUAUUUUUUAUAAAUCACAAUAUUUUUAGUUCAGAACUACGGCGUUUCCACGUCGGUGGUGGUGAAAUAUGAUACUGCUUGGUUUUCUCCGAAAGAGUCGAGAUACGCCGUAUAACUUUCUUAAGUGUGCGGUGGUCAACUGCAUGUGUAGGUCAAGGAUUUCCCCGAAAGAGACGAUGUCUACGUAUGUACGAGUUCGAAAUGUUACCGCUCGGCCGGUUUUUAUACCACGGUCGGUACGUAAAACCAAACGACUGCAAGCUCCGUUUACAUACAAAGGCCGACCUAAUAUCGUAACCACCGCCCGCUCAUCAAUCCGCGGCCGUGGUCUCCGUGAAAAAAAUCGCUCCGAAAAUGUCUCUCGUCCUCGGGGCACUCUACCGAAUUUCCAUUAUAACGAUAUACGCGUACCACAUCAUAUUUUAUUCGCACCGAUCACGUGACUCAAUUGUUAUGAAAUAUAUUAUUAUGAUGUUAUUAUUAUAUAAUGUGUGGUGUUGGUAUACGAUGGGCUCAAUCUCGGUUUAAGACCCCCCUUCCACCCUUUGGACCACUAGACCGGAGAUUUUUUUUAGGGCACUCUAAUUCUACAAAAUAUUGUGUGUU
This is a long non-coding RNA of Myzus persicae (green peach aphid), 682 nucleotides long. RefSeq lists it as uncharacterized. The transcript has 3 exons. NCBI's taxonomy places the organism in Eukaryota, Metazoa, Arthropoda, Insecta, Hemiptera, Aphididae. The record is from RefSeq and is a predicted model, not a curated record.